GACGAACGCUGGCGGCGUGCUUAACACAUGCAAGUCGAGCGGUAAGGGCCCUUUCGGGGGUACACGAGCGGCGAACGGGUGAGUAACACGUGGGUGACCUGCCUUUAGCUCUGGGAUAAGCCUGGGGAAACUGGGUCUAAUACCGGAUAUGACCCUAUGGCGCAUGUUGUGGGGUGGAAAGCCUUGUGCGGCUAGGGAUGGGCCCGCGGCCUAUCAGCUUGUUGGUGGGGUGAUGGCCUACCAAGGCGACGACGGGUAGCCGGCCUGAGAGGGCGACCGGCCACACUGGGACUGAGACACGGCCCAGACUCCUACGGGAGGCAGCAGUGGGGAAUCUUGCGCAAUGGGCGAAAGCCUGACGCAGCGACGCCGCGUGAGGGAUGACGGCC
RNAcentral lists this ribosomal RNA (389 nucleotides) under uncultured bacterium. RNAcentral's name for it is "bacterial SSU rRNA". It matches the Rfam family "Bacterial small subunit ribosomal RNA", at positions 28 to 416 of the family's 1533-position model. The record is from RNAcentral.